RNAcentral lists this ribosomal RNA (275 nucleotides) under uncultured bacterium. RNAcentral's name for it is "partial 16S ribosomal RNA". It matches the Rfam family "Bacterial small subunit ribosomal RNA", at positions 399 to 691 of the family's 1533-position model. The record is from RNAcentral.
GCGUGAGUGAUGAAGGCCUUAGGGUUGUAAAGCUCUUUUACCCGGGAUGAUAAUGACAGUACCGGGAGAAUAAGCUCCGGCUAACUCCGUGCCAGCAGCCGCGGUAAUACGGAGGGAGCUAGCGUUGUUCGGAAUUACUGGGCGUAAAGCGCGCGUAGGCGGCUUGCCAAGUCAGAGGUGAAAUCCCGGGGCUCAACCCCGGAACUGCCUUUGAAACUAUCAAGCUAGAAUCUUGGAGAGGCGAGUGGAAUUCCGAGUGUAGAGGUGAAAUUCGU